Molecule: long non-coding RNA, 495 nt
Filed under: Solanum lycopersicum (tomato)
Lineage: Eukaryota; Viridiplantae; Streptophyta; Magnoliopsida; Solanales; Solanaceae
Description: partial TCONS_00199160
Source: RNAcentral
GGUCUCUGAAAGGUAUAGUGCUCCAAAACCACAUCUUUAAACAGAGAAUGAAUCUAAAGUCUUCCAACUUCAUAAGGAGACUGCCAGUAUUUUAAAAGCAUAUAUUGAAGUUGAAAACCAAAAGGCAGACCUUUAUAACAAACUGAUACAUACAUCAAUGUGAUGUACAAUACAGAAACAUAACCGUUGAUGUCUAUCUCAGAGCUACAACUGACGUACAAAUUGAACUCUCUAAGAUAUAAAGUGAAUGCCACAAUAUACAUUUCUACAGAGUAGGGAGUCUGACUAGAUUUAAAUGAAUACGUACACUUGAAGUUCCUUUUGGUAUAAUAUGCCUACAAUAAGGUUUCGUCGUCAUUCUUAUUCUAUUUGUAGGGUUUGGGGUGAGGGGAGAGUGGAACUUACAUUUCGUGCUUCGAGAAAGGAACUGCAAAAAUGUUAAUGCUAUUCAUGGAACAAAACUUCAACAAAUUUUCUGCUUAAUCUGACUCCGUC